UACGGGGGGGAGCAAGCGUUGUUCGGAUUUACUGGGCGUAAAGGGCGCGUAGGCGGCGUGACAAGUCACUUGUGAAAUCUCCGGGCUUAACUCGGAACGGUCAAGUGAUACUGUCGUGCUAGAGUACAGAAGGGGCAACUGGAAUUCUCGGUGUAGCGGUGAAAUGCGUAGAUAUCGAGAGGAACACCUGCGGCGAAGGCAGGUUGCUGGGCUGAUACUGACGCUGAGGCACGAAAGCGUGGGGAGCAAACAGG
RNAcentral lists this ribosomal RNA (254 nucleotides) under uncultured bacterium. RNAcentral's name for it is "partial 16S ribosomal RNA". It matches the Rfam family "Bacterial small subunit ribosomal RNA", at positions 524 to 776 of the family's 1533-position model. The record is from RNAcentral.